ACACUUACCUGGCAGGGGAAUACCAUGAUCACUGAGGGUGGUUUUCCCAGGGCAAGGCUCAUGCAUUGCAAUCUGGAUGUGCUGACUCCUGUGAUUUCCCCAGAUGUGGGAAACUUCACUGAAUAAUUUGUGGUAGUGGGAAACUGCAUUUGUGCUUUCCUCUG
Pteropus alecto (black flying fox) is the source of this 164-nucleotide non-coding RNA. Lineage: Eukaryota; Metazoa; Chordata; Mammalia; Chiroptera; Pteropodidae. The record is from Rfam.